ACCAGUCAGACCACUACACCUUUGCCAGCACCACCACCCAGCAAGCUUCAUCAACUCCAGCCAUGCCGAGUUUACCAGUCAGACCUACACCUCCGUCAAAUUCGCUCACAACGCUGCCAAUAACACCCCAGCAAGAUUUUUACAGACUUGUUCUGCAGCACUUCCGAACAAUUGAGGAGGAGCUGGGGUAAAGCAGCAGGUGGCUGUGAACACAUCUAUGCUGCAGAAGCUAGGUGGUGGUGGUGUGGCGGAUCUUGGCCUCGUGGAGGACAACAACAGGCCAUUGAGUAAUGUUGAGGACCUGGACGAGUUGGAGAGGCGGCUUGCAUCCGAUGCGGACCUGAAAAAUCAACUGGUGAACAUACUUGGGAGGGAAAACCACCUAGAUGCUGUUAAGAGGAUGCUGGGCCGGGCUUUGAGGAGGUCCCUGGCGCUCCAAAUUAAUUAGACUGGUGCAGCAGGAAAGGUGGCUUUUAAGUCCUUACACCUGAAGAGUGUGUUGCAUAUUAAUAUCAUUAUUAAAAAUAAUUUUAAUAAAUUGUUUAAGCAUGUAGAAGAAAUAAAGCAUGUAAAUGAGCAUGUAAAAGAAAUAAAUAAACAAAAUGUAUUGAACCUAAUACUAUGUGUGGUGAGUCUGUGUGAUAGUUGCUGAGGAUAAAUGUUUUUAUAUUGGAUUAUUAAAUUACAGAAUACAUUUAUAGGUUUCUCAUCAGCAGGCACUGUCUUCACCUUAGUAAAUUUGGUAACUUUGGUAAGCCCUGUAAAUAAUUGUAAAUUGUUCUGAUUGAGGGCAAAUGGAAAGUGUUAUAAUGUAUUAUUGCUAUAUUUUAGUACAUAAUUUUAAUUAUUAAGGCCAUAAAUAAGGCCAAUUAGAAGCUGGUGGGUAGUAAGCGGCAAAAGGGUGGCCCUUUAUCUGGAGCCGCUUCUGAGCCGCCGGUGGACCGCUAGAGAACCGAUGAGCAAAACUCCAGCGGGCCACUGGUGGGUACCGCCGUUGGACC
Molecule: long non-coding RNA, 1001 nt
Organism: Sardina pilchardus (European sardine)
Lineage: Eukaryota; Metazoa; Chordata; Actinopteri; Clupeiformes; Clupeidae
Exons: 4
Source: RefSeq, a predicted model, not a curated record